This 58-nucleotide transfer RNA is filed under the name Escherichia coli. Its description in RNAcentral is "tRNA-Val". It matches the Rfam family "tRNA", at positions 9 to 63 of the family's 71-position model. From Rfam's summary of the family: Transfer RNA (tRNA) molecules are approximately 80 nucleotides in length. Their secondary structure includes four short double-helical elements and three loops (D, anti-codon, and T loops). Lineage: Bacteria; Pseudomonadati; Pseudomonadota; Gammaproteobacteria; Enterobacterales; Enterobacteriaceae. The record is from RNAcentral. RNAcentral also lists the same sequence under 1 other name.
AGCUCAGCUGGGAGAGCACCUCCCUUACAAGGAGGGGGGCGGCGGUUCGAUCCCGUCA